AUGUCCACCGACGACGAGCUCCGCGGCCUCCUGGUGCAGGAAUCCACCGCCGCGAUCGUCUCCGGCGCCGACCCCUCCAGCCCCACCGCCCGAUCCGCCCACUUCCUCCUCCCCCGCGCGGGGGCUGCUCCCGUCCCCGCUCUGCCACCCCCGCCACGCAAUGCCGACCCUGUUCCUCCUGCCGACGAGCUCACGGUGGAGUGGACGGACUGGCCCGGCUGCUCCAAGCUGUGGAGGCGGUGGGUGGCCAAGCUUCGCCCCCGGCACGAGCGCAUGUGGCGGAAGCUUGGGAUCUUGGACGGCCUUCUCGCGACCACGGGCUGGGUGCGGUGGGACGAGGACCUGCUGCUGCAGCUCGCGGGUUUCUGGUCCGGCGAGACCAACACGUUCCUCUUCCCGUGGGGUGAGGCCACGGUGACGCUGGAGGACAUGGCCGUGCUCGGGGGCCUGCCCCUGCUGGGCGGGCCGGUGUGGUCGCGGCUCCCGGACGAGCUCCGCGGGGACGUGGACGCGCUCGAAGCCGUCCGGAUCGCGCUCAACUGGAGCAAGAGCAAGAAAGUCAAUUAUACCUUGUGGAUUAAGCACUUCAUCGAGGAGAACGGUGCCGGUGCCGGUGCCGGUGCCGCUGGCGACGGCAGAGGAGAGGCCGAGGUGGCCACAUUGCUCGAGCACGGGGCGUUUCUGGCCAUGUGGUUGACCAGAUACGUGCUUCCGGUGGAGUCAUUCGACGUGGUCAGAGCGGACGUGCUCCCCCUCGCCGCCGGACUGGCGCGCGGCAGGUGCUCGGCCCUCGCACCUGCCGUACUUGCCAACAUCUACAAUGACCUCUCCGCGCUCAGUCACCACUUAAGCUUGGGCGCCAGCCAUCAGCCGUUCGUGGCCAGUGCGCCACUGCACAUCCUCCAGCUAUGGGUCUGGGAGCGCUUCCCGGAGCUUUGCCCUGCCAUCAACUCCCACGAUGGCGAUCCCGGCAUGCCGAGGGCUGCCAAGUGGUACAAUAUCAGAAGGAUGCUUGACCCUGGGCACAUCCAUGCAGUGUUCAUGUCCCCGGAGGCAUUCCAAUGGAGGCCUUACGGAGGCAGUAGCAUUGCUCUGCCACCAGGCAAGGGUGGCUGCUGGGUGCACUGCCAUGAAGUAGCAACAAGCAAGGAAUUGCAAUCCUUCGCGCAAUGCCUCCGACCUUGCGAACUUGUCGGCAUGCAAUGCAUCGAGCAGUACUGUCCGCACCGCGUCGCAAGGCAGCUCGGCUUCGACCAGGACGUGCCUGGGACUGUUGCCCGUGCCAACUCAAGUCGAAAGACGGCGUGGGCGACAUACAAGAUGCAGCCUGAAAAUGUUUCGCUCUUCGUUCCGCAGCGCGAUCCGGGCGUGACGGUUGAAUACGCACAAUGGUGGCAGCAAUACUCGUCGGCAUGCGCUGCUGCCAUUGCUAAUGCUGCAAGGAUGAAACAACUUCAUGUUACUGUUGUAGGAUGCGGUAAAAAGCGGCACUUGGAGGCUGGGAUGAGCCUGCAAGAUGAUACAGAGCAGGACGAGAUUCUGCUGGAAGAGACGCAUAUUCUGGAAGAUGACACGGCAAAGCAAAAUUCAGAAACCGUGAAGGAUUUUGUGCCAAGAUGGGCAGGAAAAGGUAGGCGUAGGGCAAUUUCACGCAAAGUUGCUGAGAAAGCUAUCUCUGAUGCAGAGGCAAUUUUGGUGAGUGAAUUUGAUAAACCACUGUGUGGGCCGGUCACCAAGAAUGAGCAUUUUCAAAAGCAAGCAUCAGGCUCGGUUGUUACGUAUGAUGAAAAGAAUCUCAGUUCAGAACAUGGUGAAGUCAAGGGUGCAGCGAGCGCUAGAAGCAACAAAGGCAUUGGAGCUGCAAUUGGAGCGGACAUGUAUUCAAAUCUUCCAGACAUCUUGGCUAUCAGUGGUAAUGAGUUGGAUGAAAUAUUCAGAAAGGAUAGCGAGGCGAGCGCAAUUUAUAUGGAAUUGUCCAAGUUGACGAUGGCAACAUCCAACUCAGAUCGGCCAAAUGAAGAAUUCGAACGACAUCUGGUCACCAUAAGAAGAGAUGAGCAGGACUGCAGCGAGUCCAAGGAUAUCAUGGUGCCAAAAAACUGUGAUUAUGAGCUUCCUGCUGCCCAAAGUGAUAGCACCCUCAGACAAGGACCAGUUAAUAAAGUAACUCAUGCCAUUAAUGUUCAAACUAAUGUUGAUGUCUUAGAAGGACGCAUUGAUGAAAUGCAGGCACGCAAUGUAAUGGCAGAGGGAGAUCAGAGAGCGAAGGUGGACAGACAAAACUCAACUGUUUUCAAAGGAAACAAUGAUGAUGCAUCUUAUAAUGGUCUAGCACAUGGAAAUAAUGAACUGGGCAAGAGAGUCAUUUCUACUAAAACACUCUACUAUCUUAGACCAUUCGAGCGGGUGAAAGAUGCUCAGGUCAGAGAUUCAAGAGCCACCAAUGCAGGUCAAGUAAUUUUCCAACCAGGACGGGAAGUCGGAACAACGGAAAUGAUUAGAGAGGCGUCUCAAGCUCGAGAAGCAGAAAAGGUUGAAUUGGAAACAAUAAUUGAUCAUCUUAAGAAACAAGUGGUGGCGCUAGAGGUGCAGUUGCGGGACAGGAGAACCUAG
This 2613-nucleotide ribosomal RNA is filed under the name Triticum aestivum (bread wheat). Its description in RNAcentral is "partial small subunit ribosomal RNA". The record is from RNAcentral. Lineage: Eukaryota; Viridiplantae; Streptophyta; Magnoliopsida; Poales; Poaceae.